UACGGGGGGGGGCAAGCGUUGUUCGGAAUUACUGGGCGUAAAGGGCUCGUAGGCGGCCAACUAAGUCAGACGUGAAAUCCCUCGGCUUAACCGGGGAACUGCGUCUGAUACUGGUUGGCUUGAAUCCGGGAGAGGGAUGUGGAAUUCCAGGUGUAGCGGUGAAAUGCGCAGAUAUCAGGAGGAACACCGAUUGCGAAGGCAGCUCGCUGGGACGUAACUGACGCUGAGACGCGAAAGCGUGGGGAGCAAACAGG
This 254-nucleotide ribosomal RNA is filed under the name uncultured bacterium. Its description in RNAcentral is "partial 16S ribosomal RNA". It matches the Rfam family "Bacterial small subunit ribosomal RNA", at positions 524 to 776 of the family's 1533-position model. The record is from RNAcentral.